This 75-nucleotide transfer RNA is filed under the name Vibrio parahaemolyticus. RNAcentral describes it as "tRNA-Ala". It matches the Rfam family "tRNA". Rfam says of the family: Transfer RNA (tRNA) molecules are approximately 80 nucleotides in length. Lineage: Bacteria; Pseudomonadati; Pseudomonadota; Gammaproteobacteria; Vibrionales; Vibrionaceae. The record is from RNAcentral. RNAcentral also lists the same sequence under 1 other name.
GGCGAUUAGCUCAGUUGGGAGAGCGCCUGCCUUGCACGCAGGAGGUCUGCGGUUCGAUCCCGCAUAGCUCCACCA